Long non-coding RNA from Chinchilla lanigera (long-tailed chinchilla), 794 nucleotides. RefSeq lists it as uncharacterized. The transcript is spliced from 3 exons. NCBI's taxonomy places the organism in Eukaryota, Metazoa, Chordata, Mammalia, Rodentia, Chinchillidae. The record is from RefSeq and is a predicted model, not a curated record.
UUCUGAUCGUGCUGAUGAUCCCAGCCUCCUCAUAUUUACCUCGACCCCCCCCUUCAGUGUGGGACUGACUUACUUCUAAUGCAUAGUGUAGCAAAACUAAGCAGCUAUCGCUUUUGAAAGUAGGAUAUAAAAGACUGCAAGUUUCCUUUGCUUCGUAUUCUGUCUUGGUCUCUCCUCACUUGCUCCUUCUGAGAAGGUGACCUUCUGCACUGUGCACUGCACUCUGGUGAGACUCAAGUGUCAAGAAGUGAUAUAAAGACAACCUUCAGCUGGCAACCAGGAGGAUGUGGAAGCUUCUGUCCAAAGUUCCCUAAGGAACUGCAUCCUUUCCACAGCCACCCAGUGGUAUGAACUCAAAGUAAAUCUUCAUUCCAUUGAGCCUUGAAAUGAUUGCAGAUUUUAAAAAGCUCCUUAAAUGGGAGAAAUUGCUAAGCUGGACCUAGAUUUCUUAACCACGGAAGCCACAAGGAAGUAAAGUUUAUAGUUUGAAUCACUGUUGAGUUAGGGUUUGAAUUCAAUUUCUUCAAAAUUGAUGAAUACCAGAGUUUCCGUCAAGAGCAUUAAGGAUUCUGAGGCGCCAGUACCAGGUGUCAAGGGUUACAGCCACAUCUCUGUAUCAGACAUCCUGUGACAGGAGUGUUUCAAAGGGAAACACAAGAGGACAUUUGAAGAAACUCCUAAAAAUCAGUCAGUAGUUGCUUCUCUUCUUGACCUGCUUUCUUAUCUUAGUAAGUAUGUAGCAUGUAGCUGGAUAUGACUGUUUCUACAAUUUAUAUUUAAUAAAGAUGGUUACA